Molecule: long non-coding RNA, 1267 nt
Filed under: Phascolarctos cinereus (koala)
Lineage: Eukaryota; Metazoa; Chordata; Mammalia; Diprotodontia; Phascolarctidae
Description: lncRNA (ENSPCIG00000027675.2)
Source: RNAcentral
CCAGAGUGGGUGCCUCUAGAGAGGGGUGGGGCUGGCUGGUCAAUCCCUGGCAUCUCUCUUCUUAGGGACACCAAAUAGAAGCUAUCGGAUGCAUGUAUAAGUCUUGCAAUAAACCCCAUGGUCCUACCUGAAUCAUCAAACUACCCUGGUAUGAAGGACAAAAGGCCUAUGCGACCUCACAUGUUGACAAGGCGGAGUUACCAGAGCUUGGCAUUACCUGGGUGCACCCACCAGUGCUUUCUCUGCAGUUGCUCAUGUUCCAUUCAAAAAAGGAGGUCACCUUGGAAAAAGAGAAGCUUUUUGAAUACAGCCCUAAGGACAGUCGAGGAGUUGGCCAAGGAGCUCUAUGGAGACACAGAGCUCAUUUCUGGAAACGCUGGUUUCAGCCCAGAGGGACAAGAUCACAGGCCAGAAAGGGCUUUGGGCUGAAGCUUCAUCCAGUGAGACGCCUUCCCCUUCUCUUCCCCCACCUUUCUAAUAAUGGAAUGGACCGUGGAUCUGCCUUGCUCUGGAAAAGCAUAGCAUGCUAGAGCUAUUCCUCUAUUUACCUGUCCUACCUCAAAAGUGUUUAUAAUCGUCUGCUUUCCCCUUCUUGAUUUCAGUCUAGAGAAUCUGCAGCUUUGAUACAAGGCAGAGGUUGGGGGUGAGGGUGAGGGUGGGGAGGGAGAACCCCUCCCUCCAUUCUCACUCUCUUGUUAUUCUUCUCCUAAUUGAACCACAGUAAAUUCAGAUAGGCACCGUUUUUCCUGACAUUUCUAUAAGUGUGGACUUUAACAAUUCCUUUUUAAUUGUCAUGGUGUUUUCUAAAACCAACUGUUGCAUCUUUUGUCACUAUGUUCAGAAAGCAGUUAUGUACAGAGGAAAGAGGGCUGGGCCUUAAUCCUGAGUUGUGGGUAGUGUUGCCCUAGGCCUCAGGUACUCCUUACUGUUAUUUUCUGAGUUCUGUCCAGGGGCUCAACCUCAGGGACUCCUCUCCUCCCCUAAGCCAUGGUCAGAAAAGAUGGAUUCUAAUCCCAUCUCAAUAGUUCUCAAUAGUGUGACCUUGGCAGCUCCCUUUUGUCUCACUCCUCUGAGUUUCCUCAUCUCUAGUAUGUAGGUACUACUAAUCCCCCAAGGUUAUUGUGAAAAAAAAAACCCACUGUAUAAAAAUGAUGUGAUUGUUUCAUACCAGCUUUUGUGUUUUAAAUAAUAGUUAUAGAUUCCCAAAACUUGUUGCCUUCUUUCUUUUUCUAAAAGGCUGCUCAAAAUUUAUUAGUGUCUGGUGAGG